GUAGAUACAAACUAGAGGAGCAAAUGAGCACUGUUUCAAAAGCUUUAAGAAAAUUAGGUGUCAAGCGAUCUGAAGAGAAAGUAUUCUGGGUGGACGUGAAGAAUUGAUACAUGCAGCACAACCCUAAACAAAAAGGAGAUUGGGAGUGUGGAUUUUUUGUGAUGCUAUAUAUGAAGCA
Papaver somniferum (opium poppy) is the source of this 178-nucleotide long non-coding RNA. RefSeq lists it as uncharacterized. The transcript is spliced from 3 exons. NCBI's taxonomy places the organism in Eukaryota, Viridiplantae, Streptophyta, Magnoliopsida, Ranunculales, Papaveraceae. The record is from RefSeq and is a predicted model, not a curated record.